RNAcentral lists this ribosomal RNA (258 nucleotides) under Triticum aestivum (bread wheat). RNAcentral describes it as "partial small subunit ribosomal RNA". Lineage: Eukaryota; Viridiplantae; Streptophyta; Magnoliopsida; Poales; Poaceae. The record is from RNAcentral.
AUGGCGCAACUCCCCUGUGAUGGGUCAGUGGAGCCCUCCCGGCGUCCCAGCGCGCACCACCGGUGGGUGUGGGGGCGUCUUGGAUGUCGCGGCGGCGGUGCUUGGCCUGGUCGGGAUAGAGGAAUAAAGCGGCAAGGAGAAGGAGCCGGAAGGAAGGAAGACAGAGAUCCAGGGAAUUUGAGGAUUGGAGAUGGGAGGAAGGAGAGCGCUACGCGGAACGGCGGAAGAGAUGCCGGCGGCUGCGGGUCGGGGAGAUAG